GACUCUUGGGUCUGAAGAAGGCACCAGCCCCUGCUAAAUUCUGAGCAUUGACACCAGUGGAAGCCUCAUCCUCAGACUUGGAAGAAGAAGGAAAUGGACUUCGGGUGAGCCUGCUCCUCCUCCACCUCGCCCUGCGCCCAGCAGUGAGAGGACACCAGAGCCCCGUCCAGCACUGCUGACAGAAGAGCAGAAGGCAGUGAUUGCCAUGGCAACGCAUUAAGAGAUGCGGAGCCACCUCCAGUUUUAGCAUCUGGAAAGGGGUCAAGUCUUUGGGGCAUAGAGUGGGAAGGGAAAUUCACUCCCCCAGAGUCUUCAUAGCUAACAAAGCCAUGGCACAGUGCAUGUUACAAAGCCCUUUCACACAAGAAAACUAGGAAGUGGUAUCCCCAUUUUACAGAUCAGAAAACUAGGGUGGGAAUCUCCUGCCAAGCCAGUCAGUGGCAGAGCUAGUGUUUGAAUCCAGCCUUCCUGAUUUCAAAGUCGAUACUCUUGCUUCUCUAAUAGUUGCCUGUCUUGGGUAAAUGACAGACAAGGACCCAGAGACCCCAGAGUCCUGCUGGUGUGAGGGUUUGGGAGCACAUGUGUUGGCCCACUCUACUUGACACAAUCCAUGGCCCACUACACUUGGCACCUAUCUGGCAAGGCUCACACCUGCACAGAUACACAAGCAGAAAAGCUUCCAAAAUUGUUCAUGCAUGCAUGCAUGUUGGACAUGUAGACACAUCCAAAGGAAGUGUACACACAAACAGCCUCACAUGCACACACGGAUGCCUGAACACACAUAUUCACCAAUAUAGACACAUAUGUCUGCAAACACAUACGCAGGCACACACUGGUAUAUACAUGGAAGCAGAUGUAAAAUUAAUUGUCUUCCUGGUCCUGAGUCAUCACCCCUCCACAUACCCACUUCUUUUGACAUAUGACUUUGCAAUUCCUCUCUUCUGAGAGGGAAGAUCUAUUUCCCCAUCCACUGAAUCCAGGCUUGGCAGUGUAACUUGCUCUAACCAAUGCAGUAUUAGCAAAUAUGAUGCAAGCAGAACCUUGAAAAAGUGCUUGUGUGGUUCUGCUUCUGUCUCUUGGUCCUUGCCAUCACUGUGAGAACAUACUUGGGAUGUAAAGGAGGAGACACCUGGUGCAGAGGCAAGGCACCUCAUUUGCCCCAGCUGAGGCCAUCCUAGAUCAGACAGCCCAUGGCCAACCACCAGAAGUGGGAAAUGAGGCUGGGCGCAGUGGCUCAUGCCUGUAAUCCCAGCAUUUUGGGAGCCCGAGGUGGGCGGAUCACAAGGUCAAGAGAUCAAGACCAUCCUGGCCAACAUGGUGAAACCCCGUCUCUACUAAAAAUACAAAAAUUAGCUGGGUGUGGUGGCGUGUGCCUGUAGUCCCAGCUACUCAGGAGGCUGAGGCAGGAGAAUCGCUUGAACCCGGGAAGUGGAGGUUGUAG
Molecule: long non-coding RNA, 1441 nt
Organism: Homo sapiens (human)
Lineage: Eukaryota; Metazoa; Chordata; Mammalia; Primates; Hominidae
Source: Ensembl